GACGAACGUUGGCGGCGUGCUUAACACAUGCAAGUCGAACGGAAAGGCCCUGCUUUUGUGGGGUGCUCGAGUGGCGAACGGGUGAGUAACACGUGAGUAACCUGCCCUUGACUUUGGGAUAACUUCAGGAAACUGGGGCUAAUACCGGAUAGGAGCUCCUGCUGCAUGGUGGGGGUUGGAAAGUUUCGGCGGUUGGGGAUGGACUCGCGGCUUAUCAGCUUGUUGGUGGGGUAGUGGCUUACCAAGGCUUUGACGGGUAGCCGGCCUGAGAGGGUGACCGGCCACAUUGGGACUGAGAUACGGCCCAGACUCCUACGGGAGGCAGCAGUGGGGAAUAUUGCACAAUGGGCGGAAGCCUGAUGCAGCAACGCCGCGUGCGGGAUGACGGCCUUCGGGUUGUAAACCGCUUUCGCCUGUGACGAAGCGUGAGUGACGGUAAUGGGUAAAGAAGCACCGGCUAACUACGUGCCAGCAGCCGCGGUGAUACGUAGGGUGCGAGCGUUGUCCGGAUUUAUUGGGCGUAAAGGGCUCGUAGGUGGUUGAUCGCGUCGGAAGUGUAAUCUUGGGGCUUAACCCUGAGCGUGCUUUCGAUACGGGUUGACUUGAGGAAAGGUAGGGGAGAAUGGAAUUCCUGGUGGAGCGGUGGAAUGCGCAGAUAUCAGGAGGAACACCAGUGGCGAAGGCGGUUCUCUGGGCCUUUCCUGACGCUGAGGAGCGAAAGCGUGGGGAGCGAACAGGCUUAGAUACCCUGGUAGUCCACGCUGUAAACGGUGGGUACUAGGUGUGGGGUCCAUUCCACGGGUUCCGUGCCGUAGCUAACGCUUUAAGUACCCCGCCUGGGGAGUACGGCCGCAAGGCUAAAACUCAAAGGAAUUGACGGGGCCCCGCACAAGCGGCGGAGCAUGCGGAUUAAUUCGAUGCAACGCGUAGAACCUUACCUGGGUUUGACAUGGAUCGGGAGUGCUCAGAGAUGGGUGUGCCUCUUUUGGGGUCGGUUCACAGGUGGUGCAUGGCUGUCGUCAGCUCGUGUCGUGAGAUGUUGGGUUAAGUCCCGCAACGAGCGCAACCCUUGUUCACUGUUGCCAGCACGUUAUGGUGGGGACUCAGUGGAGACCGCCGGGGUCAACUCGGAGGAAGGUGGGGAUGACGUCAAGUCAUCAUGCCCCUUAUGUCCAGGGCUUCACGCAUGCUACAAUGGCUGGUACAGAGAGUGGCGAGCCUGUGAGGGUGAGCGAAUCUCGGAAAGCCGGUCUCAGUUCGGAUUGGGGUCCGCAACUCGACCUCAUGAAGUCGGAGUCGCUAGUAAUCGCAGAUCAGCAACGCUGCGGUGAAUACGUCCCCGGGGCU
This 1347-nucleotide ribosomal RNA is filed under the name uncultured bacterium. RNAcentral describes it as "partial 16S ribosomal RNA". It matches the Rfam family "Bacterial small subunit ribosomal RNA", at positions 28 to 1381 of the family's 1533-position model. The record is from RNAcentral.